UACGUAGGGUGCGAGCGUUGUCCGGAAUUAUUGGGCGUAAAGAGCUUGUAGGCGGUUUGUCGCGUCUGCCGUGAAAAUUCGAGGCUCAACCUCGAACUUGCGGUGGGUACGGGCAGACUAGAGUGUGGUAGGGGAGACUGGAAUUCCUGGUGUAGCGGUGGAAUGCGCAGAUAUCAGGAGGAACACCGGUGGCGAAGGCGGGUCUCUGGGCAGUAACUGACGCUGAGGCGCGAAAGCUAGGGGAGCAAACGGG
Molecule: ribosomal RNA, 253 nt
Filed under: uncultured bacterium
Lineage: Bacteria
Description: partial 16S ribosomal RNA
Rfam family: Bacterial small subunit ribosomal RNA
Source: RNAcentral